UUUUUUUUUCACAAGGGUGUUAUUUAUUCAUAGACAAUCGGACCAAGCCAAUUGUAACAAGCCAAAUAUUUUACAAACCAUUAAAAUAAACAUACCACUAAAACAUAAUAAUGAAAGCCCAAAAGCCCAAAUAGGGAAACCUAACAAUGAAGAAAAAGCAUUCGACAACAGCGAGGAUACGUGACAGAAGGAAACAAGUUAGAUGCCACGUGGGAAGCCAAAGAAGAUGGAUUCUGGUCGAAGGCACCGUGAAGUUUCUCAAUUCUUGUAUCAGAUCUCAAUCUUCGCCGAGAGAAUUAAAGGCGAAAUCCCAGUCUGCUUCAGAUAAAGAUCUGAUCUUGGCUGCUUUCACUCCAAACAGAUCAAACUAAGGACUACUAAAAAGAGUAAAUCCAGCCUAAAGUUUCAACAGAAAAUUAAAAGACUAAAAGGGGAAAAACCAAAUUUCUCACUUAAUCCCCAUCCUAGGAACAUUUACACUUAACACGCGACCUAGUGAAGCCAUGAGUGCAAUCCAGUCAACCCAAAACUUCGGUAAGACACUCAGUCACGAAGAUCCCAAAGCUUGAAAGAGUUGUAAGCCAAAGAUUAAACUUCUACGAUUCUUAUUCAUCUUCUUCUUCAAACAAACGCUUUUAAUCUUCAAAGAAAUUACGUAGUUCACCAAAGAUAGACUUGCUUUCAUCAAAACCGUUUCAAAUCCAAAGUUUUUCUUUUUUCCUUUGACAAGGGCUGGUAUCCGUCGAUCCAAGACAAACUCCGAUCAAUUGGACAUCAAUCUUCGUCAGAUCCAAAACCAAAAAAAUCCCAACUGGCGGUGGUAACACCAGAUAGAGACCCAACUGAUCUCGCUACAGAAACCGAUAUCGUUAGAGCAAAGCCAGCCACAUGUGUUAUAUAAACCACCUAUGCCGGAGACAAAGCCGGCCACAUGUGCCAUGGAAACCACAUAUGCCAGAGACAAAGCCAGCCAUAGGUGUCAUGGAAACCACCUAUGCUGGAGACAAACCCGACCAACCAACCAUCGCUGUGUAAGCUGGAGGAGGUCGGACGGAAAACCGAUUAACAAAUCGGACGGCGGAGCAAAAGGAGUCUCUCUCUCUCUCUAAAAGAUUUUUAGAGAGAUAAGAGAGAGAGCUCUUUUUCUUUAAUUAAGUCCUUUUUUCUUCUAAGAUAAAUUUAUUUUGGAAAAAAGAUUGUGAGCUACCUGAAGUAUGGCGGAAUGCAUUACCACACAUGCCAACUAUGAUAAAGGACACUCAACUACAUCACCUAUAUGUAUUGCAUGAUCACAUGUAUGAAGUAUAUGAUGUUAUGUGCUCAACAUCAUACAUAUAGAAUCUCGGUUUACCUGAUCAUUUACGCUGACGUUGACCUACCAUUGACUCGUCGGAACCGAAAAAAAGACCCGAUCGGAUUAUUGACCCGAACCCGAGACCUGACCCGGUUCAGAUAAUUGUUGGGUUUAGUUUUUGGGCCGAAAUUUAAUUAAAAUUUAGGCCCAU
Camelina sativa (false flax) is the source of this 1505-nucleotide non-coding RNA. The record is from RefSeq and is a predicted model, not a curated record. NCBI's taxonomy places the organism in Eukaryota, Viridiplantae, Streptophyta, Magnoliopsida, Brassicales, Brassicaceae.